GUUGGACCCCCUGAUUUAGGUAGCAUGUGCACACAAAAGCAAGGUAUUAAACUGAUGAUUUGGUUGGGUUUGAACGAUUAAUUUAUCUGCUUCCAUUGAAAUCAAAUUUAAAAUGAACAUUUUGUUAUCAAUUAUGAAUCUUAAUUGACACAUUUUAAUCAACAGAAGUGUAUACUGUGGAGAGAUCGAAGUGAGAGAGUUUCAAGUUGAGACUCCGAAAAUGAGGAAUAAAGGCGAUCAUAGGAGGAAGAGUUUUUUAAUCAUAUGAGUAUGAAUAAAUGUCAGUGACAACACCACCAAGGCAUUUGAAGGUGAAAGUGGCAAUUGCAGGACUGUUCUGCAAGCAUUACAACAGUUACUACAAGAUCCCCAACAGUUGCACCAUCUCUAUAGAGGCUGUCGGGAAAGUCCGUUGUUUCUCACAGGACAGGUACGAGUAACAUAUGCCGCCUGGAUGGGGAAAGCAUCGGGCAGAGAUGGUGGAAGGGAAUGAAAGGGAAAUGAGGCAGGCGCAUAUGUCUGAGUGCAUCCUGGGAAUACCGGGAUGAAAAAACAAUAUGUUAAAAACCCUAAAUGUUUAAUGCUGGAGCUUUACCUUAAGUAUUGUUCAAUGAAAUAACUCUUAAUACAAGUCUUAUUUUGUUUGUUUAUUUAUACAGUGACAGUCUGUGUGUUUUAUGGCAUGUCUAUGUAUUAUAACUUGUACUUUUUGAUAAUACUGUUCAGGGGUAUUAUCCACAUUCUGUGAUAACCCUAUUGUUUAAAUAUUUUAAGCCCUGAUAAUAAUAAUAACAAUUUGCAAGAUCAAAUGGCUUAUUUUCUUAUGUAGGAAUUUGUGAGUAUAUAAUAUGCCUGUAGGUUUACGGUAGAUUUUCUCUGAAUUAUUAUUUUUUCUCUCUGU
Mya arenaria is the source of this 901-nucleotide long non-coding RNA. RefSeq lists it as uncharacterized. The record is from RefSeq and is a predicted model, not a curated record. The transcript has 3 exons. NCBI's taxonomy places the organism in Eukaryota, Metazoa, Mollusca, Bivalvia, Myida, Myidae.